Molecule: ribosomal RNA, 339 nt
Filed under: uncultured Alphaproteobacteria bacterium
Lineage: Bacteria; Pseudomonadati; Pseudomonadota; Alphaproteobacteria
Description: bacterial SSU rRNA
Rfam family: Bacterial small subunit ribosomal RNA
Source: RNAcentral
GAUCGGCCCGCGUCUGAUUAGCUAGUUGGUGGGGUAAUGGCCUACCAAGGCGACAAUCCGUAGCUGGUUUGAGUGAACGACCAGCCACACUGGGACUGAGACACGGCCCAAACUCCUACGGGAGGCAGCAGUGGGGAAUCUUGGACAAUGGGCGCAAGCCUGAUCCAGCCAUGCCGCGUGGAUGAUGAAGGCCUUAGGGUUGUAAAAUCCUUUCGUUGGGGACGAUAAUGACGGUACCCAAAGAAGAAGCUCCGGCUAACUUCGUGCCAGCAGCCGCGGUAAUACGAAGGGGGCUAGCGUUGUUCGGAUUUACUGGGCGUAAAGCGCGUGUAGGCGGGA